RNAcentral lists this ribosomal RNA (381 nucleotides) under Triticum aestivum (bread wheat). RNAcentral describes it as "partial small subunit ribosomal RNA". Lineage: Eukaryota; Viridiplantae; Streptophyta; Magnoliopsida; Poales; Poaceae. The record is from RNAcentral.
UUUGCACGUUCUACGUGGUCAGUCAUCCAAAUAGCGUCAAGUUUAUAUCCGCCCACAAGUGUUGCCAAUAUUUUUGGUCAUUGGUUGGACGGUAUUUCAAAUAGGUUCAAAACGCUAUUAAGGGUGGGAGCGUAUGGCUUACUAUGGUCGCUUUGGCUAUGUAGAAAUGAUUUUGUUUUUAAUGACAAAAAUGCUUCUCCUUUGCAGGCUAUUUUCCGUUGUACGCAUUCGCUUCGUAUGUGGUCUAUGCUACAACGAGCGGAGGUCCAACCGUUGUUCAAGGCGGUGUGUACGCGGUUGGAGCAGGUGGCUACGGAGGUUUUUACCCAACAUGGGUGGCAGCAUAACCUCCGGAUCGGUCCAUCUCACCUUUCGACAUAG